GCUGUCCUUUUCUGUUCCUGGAAAUCACAAAAAGUGUGGUGGCUUCGAGAUCUUCUUCGCCUUUUCUUUCUUUUCUUCCCCCCCCCUCCUCCCUUCCCCUCUCCUUUCCUGGCGAGGGUGACUAGGAGCCGGCGAAUCCGCGUUUUUUUCUCUCUCUCUCCCUCCCUUUCCCCCUCCCCACCCCCUCCCCAACAGCCCCCAACUACAGCCGCCGCCGCCGCCGCCGCCUCAAAAUUCAAUAAAAUGAGCUCUUAUUUCGUCAACUCACUGUUCUCCAAAUACAAAACCGGGGAGUCCCUGCGCCCCAAUUAUUAUGACUGCGGCUUCGCCCAGGACCUGGGCGGCCGACCCACCGUGGUGUACGGUCCCAGCAGCGGCGGCAGCUUCCAGCACCCGUCGCAAAUCCAGGAGUUCUACCACGGGCCGUCGUCGCUGUCCACGGCUCCCUACCAGCAGAACCCGUGCGCCGUGGCGUGCCACGGGGACCCGGGCAACUUCUACGGCUACGACCCGCUGCAGCGGCAGAGCCUGUUCGGUGCGCAGGAUCCAGACCUGGUGCAGUACGCCGACUGCAAGCUCGCCGCCGCCAGCGGCCUGGGCGAGGAGGCCGAGGGUUCGGAGCAGAGCCCGUCGCCCACGCAGCUCUUCCCCUGGAUGCGCCCGCAAGCCGCCGGACGCAGGCGAGGCCGACAGACCUACAGCCGCUACCAGACCCUGGAGCUGGAGAAGGAGUUCCUAUUUAAUCCCUAUCUGACUCGCAAGCGGCGGAUCGAGGUAUCACAUGCGCUGGGACUAACAGAGAGACAGAUCAAAAUCUGGUUCCAGAACCGGAGGAUGAAGUGGAAAGAGAACAAAGAUAAGUUCCCCAGCAGCAAAUGCGAGCAGGAGGAGCUGGAGAAGCAGAAGCUGGAGCGGGCCCCGGAGGCGGCAGACGAGGGUGAUGCGCAGAAAGGCGACAAGAAGUAG
This 966-nucleotide long non-coding RNA is filed under the name Sus scrofa (pig). RNAcentral describes it as "lncRNA (ENSSSCG00035035529.1)". Lineage: Eukaryota; Metazoa; Chordata; Mammalia; Artiodactyla; Suidae. The record is from RNAcentral.